AUGCCGACUUGUGAGCACCCUGCUAACCCAGCCCCCACCCCGCCUGCUUCUCUUCUCAGAUUCCCAGUUAGGCUUAACGGCAUCACUGAACUGUGCAUCCCAAGGAGCCUGACGCCUCCACGUCUGAUACCUUCCACAUCUAAUUGGUACCUCCAGGUGCUCCACUGCUGCUCCCUGAACCACGACCUGGAAAUUCUGCCCUUCGGAGACAUGACGGAGGUGAGCGGGAGGCGAGCGUCCCCCAGCCCUCUUGUGACAGAGCCCCUGUCAUGGUGUUCUGGGGUCCCCAGCCUGCCUCCCUGGGUAGGUAGAGGAAGGACCCCGGCUCUUCCUUCCCAAAGCAGCCCGAGCUGGCUCUGCAGCCUCAGAGCCUCCCACACCGAGGGAGGGAAGUUGGGGCUCAUCUGACCUUGGGAGCUGACAAAGAGGCUAUCUUGCCCCACAAGGGUGGGAGCUGACCUCCGACUUCUCCUUCUGAAGCAAGAGAGGAGACCCUGUGAAGAUAAGAAGCUUCCCGACGUCCACCUUUGCCCCACCCACUGCCCUGCUCCUCUCUGUCAGCGUUUCCUUUGACGGUGGGAAUGACAAGCAUGGCCCCACCACGGCAGUGUCAGUUCUGACUGCUGCAUUGUCCUGAUAACUCUCCAUCUUGCACAUCUGUAGCCACCUUUAUUCCAUAUAAGACCUCCGUAAGAUAAAAGCAACAUUGUUGUCUUGAUUUUGUUAUCUAAUAAUAGAUAGAUUAUCUUACUGCAUUCAAGGUACUAUUCUAGCAACUCUAAAGUAUUGUCUUAGUUAAGCCUCAGAUAACCCCAGGAGGUCAGUUCUUUUAUUAUCCUUCCUUUAAGGAUGGGCGUGUGGAGGGCAGAGAGCUCAGCUGUCUUGUUCAGGGUCGUCUUUUCAGUAGGAAGAACCAGGUCUGUUCUGUAAAAUGCAUCAGUAAUAGUCCUGAGCUCAUCAGGAUGAUGUGAGGUUUGAGUGAGUUGAUACAUACAUGCUUUGAAUUGUGCCUGGCAUAGUGUAGGUGUUACGCCCUCAUUAGAGGAACACAGUAGGCAUUUAUUCAGUCUUUGCUGAGUGAGCAGGGAAACUGAGCCUUGCCCAGGUCAAGCAGCUUAUCUAUGGUCACAUGGUGAACUGGAGGCGGAGCAGUGACAACAGGUCACCCUGCUGUUCUUUAAACUCUGCUUCUUCUCUACAGAGUCUCCAGAGUUCAUGGUAGAGCAGGGAUAGGACUUAGACCUUGGCUGCCUCGUCCUCAGAGCCUGGCUGAGGGAUGCGCCGGCCGGUAGCUGCCUGGGGUGCCAGUCUGCUAGGGGACCCCAGGCAUUCUGCCCAGUGAUUCUGGUUUGCACCCUCGACUUCUGACACGAUGGGUGUCAUGGAAGGUGGCCCUUCCCAGGGCAGCCACAGCACAGCCUGCCCACCACCGCAGCUAUGGUGCAAACAGUCUUGGGCAAUACCCCAAACCCAGGCCAGUGGUCCUCCCGGUUGGUGGUUGCAGUCAACGGAGAUUUAAAACAUGGAUAAGAUGUAAGAAGGUGCUGUUUCUUGGGAAUAAAUGAUUUACUUUACAAACUAAAUUGUGAAAAGUUUAAUACGCCUUCUGAGAAGCUGACUGAUUUAGAAAAAUUGUAUCUAAUUAUGAAUUACGAAUUUUAGUUAACUGAAAAUCAGUUUUUUCAUCCCCUACUAAGCAGAUUUUGAAAAGUAUUUUUUAAAUGCCAGGAGUGCCAAAUCAUUAGGUGUCCAGCAGUGUGCAUCGAGGGGGCUCAGUCUGUCCACCUGCCCAUCUGGCUGGUGGGAGCACACCUGGCUGGGUCACACUCUAGACACAGUGCCUUUGGCUGCCUGUCCGCAGAUCAGGGAGCGGGGCCUCAACCUCACAGGGGGGCAGAAGCAGAGGAUCAGCCUGGCCCGAGCUGUCUACUCUGACUGCGAGCUUUACCUGCUGGACCACCCCCUGUCGGCCGUGGACACCCACAUGGGGAAGCACAUCUUUGAGGAGUGCACUGAGAAGGCGCUCAGGGGGAAGACCGUCAUUUUGGUGACCCACCAGCUGCAGGUGACCACCCUCCCAGGGCUCUGGCCAUGAUUGGCAGAUAAUGUAGCUCCUCAAGACCCUGCCAUCUCAGUGUGAUCAAUAACAGCCUCCCAGAAGCUCCCGCCUCAUCUCAGACAGACCCCGAAGUCAGGGAGAACUUGAUUUCCUCUGCUUUCCACGUGGAGAACAUAGGCUGGUAGAAAUUGAAACCAAAUUUUAAAGUCUCCUUCAUUUUCAAAAUUGUGUGGGUGGCCACUGCUUUUGAAGUUACACAAAAAAAGAAAAAACUCCCUGAGAGAAGAAUUCCCCAAGUCUCACAUUCUUCCAUCAAGCGCAGUGGCUGUGCUGGGUGCUGCCUCUCACGGGUCCUUUUCCCUAGAUAUGUUCAUACCUGGUUUUGGCCUU
Delphinapterus leucas (beluga whale) is the source of this 2449-nucleotide long non-coding RNA. The record is from Ensembl. NCBI's taxonomy places the organism in Eukaryota, Metazoa, Chordata, Mammalia, Artiodactyla, Monodontidae.